Molecule: long non-coding RNA, 781 nt
Filed under: Lepisosteus oculatus (spotted gar)
Lineage: Eukaryota; Metazoa; Chordata; Actinopteri; Semionotiformes; Lepisosteidae
Description: lncRNA (ENSLOCG00000022447.1)
Source: RNAcentral
UAAAUUAAAACAUUCCCCGGAAAUACGUUCUGUAGGCUUUUUAGGCUUCCUAAUGAAUGACUUGCAGUCUUUUGCAAUGUUAGAUACUUUGUGGGACUGUCCCACACUGACAGAACUGAACCUGAUGCAAAUCUUCAAAAUUCUCACAAAUCAUUGACAAAGCCAACUACUGACUUCCUACAGUAUCAACAGUGAAACACAAACCAGAGGUCACAAGUGGAAACCAUGUGGAAUUGUUAUUAAAUCCGAGACCAAGAGGCACAUCAUUAUGCUAAGAUUUGAGAUUCUGGGACCAAUAAGCUUCUAACUACCAAACAGGCUAGGUGGGCCGAACAGCCUUUCACUUGAAACCUUCCUUAGGUUAGCUAGUGCACAACCAAAUUGUUCCUUUUAAGACUUCAUGGUUCAGUUCAAUUCUGUUCAUAUGAUACUACACAAAACUUUACAAUGGCAAGGAUUAACGACACCCAUGGCAUGGAACUCCAUGAUGUUUCAUGGUGCAGAGCUACAGAAACUGGCUGCAAUGCUGACGCAGCAGCCGUUUCAGGAUGAUUCCGACAAGCAUCAGUCUCUGUUUGGUACCGAUGUGACACCCAUGGCGCUGGCCACAUUGGGAUUCAAACACAUGAGCUUCAGAACCCGACUUCCCAGACAGUGGAGAAUUCGUCUGCGCCAAAAAGCUGGGCCUCAUGCCUUUACAGAACUUAGUGAAGUCACCGUCUGUGACAAGUUUAGCCGCACCAUUACACAGGCAGGGUGUAGAAUUUGUGCCAAAGUGUGA